RNAcentral lists this long non-coding RNA (357 nucleotides) under Homo sapiens (human). RNAcentral's name for it is "HSALNT0362478". The record is from RNAcentral. Lineage: Eukaryota; Metazoa; Chordata; Mammalia; Primates; Hominidae.
CCAAUUUUGGCCUCCCAGAGUGUUGGGAUUACAGGCAUGAGCCAUCGCACCUGGCCCCUUUCACACGGUUUUAAACUGGUUUGUUUACCAUGGCACUAAUUCCUUUCUUUAAGCGAAAGUAUUCUGAGUAAGAUUGAUGGAACAAUUAUUAGAUCUGCUGAUGCAAUAAAGAAAACCAGUUAAUGUGCAAUAUUGGAUUGGACAACUGAAUUUAAAGGCAAGUUAAAGUUCAAUAUUUUGAACAAUGUUUAAAUCAAGAUGAGCGAGAAGACAGAACUGUUAAAAGGUUUUAUUUUACAGCCAAGUGAAGGAUUCAGCUAUGUCCCAAAGGAUUAAACAAGAUGGUAUGCUUAAUAA